Molecule: non-coding RNA, 29 nt
Filed under: Rattus norvegicus (Norway rat)
Lineage: Eukaryota; Metazoa; Chordata; Mammalia; Rodentia; Muridae
Source: RNAcentral
UCUGAUGAUCUGGUCUUCUAAUGGUCAGU